CGACGAUAGAGUAAAUUUUACUCUUGACUUAACCAAAGUCUUUACCAGUGUUUUUACCAGUGUUUUACCAGUGUCUUUGCCAGUGUCUUUGCCAGUGAUUCCACCAGUAUUUAUUAUAUCACUUGUAUCGUCUUUUUGGCUCAUCAGGUAAGCUGGUAAAGAGGGGAAUAAGGGAGAAAGAGGGUGAGAAGUCGGAAAGCUAAGUAUUUUAAUGAGUGAGACUGUGAGAAGGGAAAAAGAGGCGAGGAGGAGUUGAGUCCAUAUUUUGGCAACAACCAAAUAGGAAACCUUAUCCGUCCAUAACAACACACAAGUUAAACAUGUCUUGUGCUUCACCAACAAUAACCAGUCUACUGAUGGUGAUUAUUGUUCAACUUGUAUUUAUCUGUAUUUGGUUUGAUUUAAUUGUUUUAGCUGCUGCCUCAACCAUCAAUAAAUCAUCUCCAUUAUCAUCACCCUCAUCAUCACCCUCACCAUCAACCUCAUCAUCACCAUCAUCUUCACCAUCGUCAUUAUCAUCAUCACAACCAUCUUUACUCUUUAGUGCUUCUUCUCCUUCAUCUUCUCCUCCAUCUACCUUUAGUGUUCGAUGUCCUUUACCACAUCUAAUACAACCAUGUGACUGUGUUGAGAUUGAAAAAGGUGGUGAUAGUGAAUUCAAUGAAGUUACAUCUUUGGGUUUAACCAACGAUACAAGUACCAAUGAUACAGAAGGUGG
RNAcentral lists this long non-coding RNA (718 nucleotides) under Lupinus mutabilis. RNAcentral describes it as "partial ncRNA". The record is from RNAcentral. Lineage: Eukaryota; Viridiplantae; Streptophyta; Magnoliopsida; Fabales; Fabaceae.